Molecule: non-coding RNA, 2717 nt
Organism: Phalacrocorax carbo (great cormorant)
Lineage: Eukaryota; Metazoa; Chordata; Aves; Suliformes; Phalacrocoracidae
Source: RefSeq, a predicted model, not a curated record
GCUGUGAGCUCCCACUUAGGUCCCUGCUCACCAUUGCUGCCACUCAGUUGCUCUUGACAGUGAGUGUGGGUCCCUAACCAGCCUCUGGAAACAUGCAGUUUUAGAGACAUAGAUUUUAAACUCCAUCAUCUCCAUGCACCCAUGGGAGUUUUGCACCUUCUGCUCCAGCCAGCCUCACUGGCUCACACCGAUGGAAAAACAGGGGCCAGCUUGUGUUUUCACGGUUCCUUGUGGUGCCCGCAGCCCCCUGCGCCCCUGCAGAGGCGCGAGGUGCCCUCUCCUGCUCUGCCUCUCGGUUCACAAGACCUGGACGUGAAGAUGGCGACCGCUCUGACUCGCCCCGCGCGGUUCAAAGGCAGGCAGUUCGCAGGGGAGCUGAUUUUCUUUCUCUUGCACCACGGCCAUUGUGCGAGUGUCAAAGGAGCAUCCCUCUCAUCUCUCAGAUUGAUGGCAUCAUCUAGGACUUCCAGCAUAGACAAGAUAAACUAAAGGCUUCUGCAGACAGAAACAGAGACUGCAGGAAAAUACUCCAAUCAGGAACCCAGAUGGAAUAGGAAACGUGAAGUCUCCCCUGGAAGGAAAGCAGAAGCUGCCCAGAGUGAAGAGGGAAACCCUGAUGCCCGUGUUGUAGCAUGAAAACUUACAGGCUCCAGUCCUGCUGGGCUUCCUGACGCGAACUGACAAACAGAAGCAUGAAAGCAGCGGAGGCAUCACAAUGCCACCUGAAUGCCUCUUCUCAGCCACAGAGCUGUGCCAGUCUUGCUUUGGUUUUUGUUCCACUGGCCAUGAAGGGUAACAGAAACAGACUGUGAAGACCAGUAGUAGUAUCCUUGGUGACUUGAAUUUGGUUGUGAGGUAUAAAAAGGUGAGAAUUCUCCUAUAAUUCCUCAAGAAACAACUUGCUCUGCACUUAAUGAAAGUAGAACAGAGCCCACCCCAUCACAGGUGCAACCAGACAAAAACAUUAGGGGUAAAUAGUCUCUUCUAGCUAGAAGAUGGAGAAGGGUCAUCUCAUCUGUUUCCUCCAUACAAAUCCUUCUUCUUUUACAUUUGUGCUCUAAAAAAAACAUGCUUUGGGGGUGGGGCAUAUUGUACAUGUGACAUUGUUGUAUGUGCUUAUAUGUGUCAGAGUUUGCUAACAUUUAAACUUCCUCCAGAAACCAUGUUUCUCUCAACACAGGGGAGGUGUUCCUCCGUGUCAUGAAUGCCUUUUUCUUAUCUCCACUUUGAAUCCUUCAAUGAGAGCUUAUUGUGCUCCUCAGUAAUCUCAGUGUUUGUCCUGUUCAGGUUUCUGUAUCUCAAAACAGCCUCCGUAUGCUCUCGAUACCUUCAUUUGGUGUCCAGGCUCCCUGCCGUGGGAUAUCUGUGUCCUUCCAAGCUGCAACUCCUUUCUCUUCAGAGACCCCCUCAUGCCCUCUUUCUGAUUUGGAUUUGGGAUUUAGUUUAUCAUGCUUCUCAGACUUCUGGAAAUAGCCUAAACUCAGAAAUAUCUCAGCCCUUACUGACUGCCUUGACGACCCAAACUGGUAAAAAAGCUGUCUUUCCAACAAACUUCAGUGCUGAAGUUAUCACAGCAAGGCCUUCCCUGGGUCUGCUGUUUUCUAGUGGCAAAGAUGAGAAAUCUCAGAGACUGGGAUCUUGGUAGAAGUAACAGAGACAGCUCAUCAUUAAAAAAAAGGUUGUUCACCAGAUUCAGUUCAUAAAUGAGGGACCCCCAAAUACUGUGGCAUAAGGACUCAGUGUUCUAGAUGUUGCUGGUGUAACAAUUCUUUCCAGAAGAUGGGUGGGUCAAUAAGUAAAGUGGAACUUAAGUAAGACAUAUGAAAAACAUUUAAAACAGUCACUAAUCUGAAAGCCAUAGAGCAGAAGGUGUUGGACCUAGGAAAUGGCUGCGGUAAAAUAUCUUAUAUCUGCAUCUGGUAAACUGGUGGAAACGAUGUGGAGGAUUUUGACAUUUGCAAUGGUGGAUUCAUGCUUAUGAGAACUUUUAUAUUGUCUUUGGAAACAGAUGUGGAACUCCAUGGAAUAAAAUGGAUCUUCAUAGCUUUCCCAAAGUACAAGAACUAGAGGAUCCCAGCCUGGGAGUGGUCCAGUGCACAGAUAUUCAAUAUGCAUAAGGGGCAGUGUGUUCCACUGAAAUGAAAUCCACGGACCUUAAAUACAAAGUAGUACGUAUGAGAAGCUUUAUUGGAAAUCUAACUGCUUAUGGAAGAAGCUCAUUGAAACCUUCUCAGAAUGUUUCAGUUUUUAUGAGAUGGCAAUUCACAGAUACAAAAAUGGUCCAGCUCAUAUCAUCAUUUGAAUGUGUCAACAUCAUAAAAAAUAAUGGAGAGCUCCUUGAUCUAAUAUAGUCAGACUUUCCAUAUGGCCUGGCAUAAAAUGUUAUGAAAGAAUCUGAGAAUUAGGAAUGAAAAAUAUUGCUGAGAGACAGGAAACAAAGAAUAAAUGACAUUUUGUCAUUGUGACACAAGCUAACGAUAGUCUUUUCCAAGGUUACGCGCAUUAUGUUUCACGUUGUAAAGCUAGUUGGAGAAAUAGUGGUGCUGGGACUAAAUAGUUCCCCGCAAACUAAAAUGUCUCACAAAAUGUGAUCAACUAAACGUGGAAAAAAUCUGGAGAAAGAAAAGGUCUGCCAUUGUUCCAUUUGAAUGAUUGGGAAAUAAAAUACCUUGUAUUUGAAUAGAUUUUCUUUAAAAAAAAUAAAGAUUUGCCUUGAA